This 491-nucleotide ribosomal RNA is filed under the name uncultured bacterium. Its description in RNAcentral is "partial 16S ribosomal RNA". It matches the Rfam family "Bacterial small subunit ribosomal RNA", at positions 29 to 506 of the family's 1533-position model. The record is from RNAcentral.
AGUGAACGCUGGCGGUAGGCCUAACACAUGCAAGUCGAACGGCAGCACAGUAAGAGCUUGCUCUUACGGGUGGCGAGUGGCGGACGGGUGAGGAAUACAUCGGAAUCUACUUUUUCGUGGGGGAUAACGUAGGGAAACUUACGCUAAUACCGCAUACGACCUACGGGUGAAAGCAGGGGAUCUUCGGACCUUGCGCGAUUGAAUGAGCCGAUGUCGGAUUAGCCAGUUGGCGGGGUAAAGGCCCACCAAGGCGACGAUCCGUAGCUGGUCUGAGAGGAUGAUCAGCCACACUGGAACUGAGACACGGUCCAGACUCCUACGGGAGGCAGCAGGGGGGAAUAUUGGACAAUGGGCGCAAGCCUGAUCCAGCCAUACCGCGUGGGUGAAGAAGGCCUUCGGGUUGUAAAGCCCUUUUGUUGGGAAAGAAAAGCAGCAGGUUAAUACCCCGCUGUUCUGACGGUACCCAAAGAAUAAGCACCGGCUAACUUCGU